AGUGAACGCUGGCGGUAGGCCUAACACAUGCAAGUCGAACGGCAGCACAGUAAGAGCUUGCUCUUACGGGUGGCGAGUGGCGGACGGGUGAGGAAUACAUCGGAAUCUACUUUUUCGUGGGGGAUAACGUAGGGAAACUUACGCUAAUACCGCAUACGACCUACGGGUGAAAGCAGGGGAUCUUCGGACCUUGCGCGAUUGAAUGAGCCGAUGUCGGAUUAGCUAGUUGGCGGGGUAAAGGCCCACCAAGGCGACGAUCCGUAGCUGGUCUGAGAGGAUGAUCAGCCCCACUGGAACUGAGACCCGGGCCAGACUCCUACGGGAGGCCGCAGUUGGGAAUUUUUGACCAUGGGCGGAAGCCUGAUCCAGCCAUACCGCGUGGGUGAAGAAGGCCUUCGGGUUGUAAAGCCCUUUUGUUGGGAAAGAAAAGCAGCAGGUUAAUACCCCGCUGUUCUGACGGUACCCAAAGAAUAAGCACCGGCUAACUUCGUG
RNAcentral lists this ribosomal RNA (492 nucleotides) under uncultured bacterium. Its description in RNAcentral is "partial 16S ribosomal RNA". It matches the Rfam family "Bacterial small subunit ribosomal RNA", at positions 29 to 507 of the family's 1533-position model. The record is from RNAcentral.